AGGAGGGAAAGAAUUUUGGGCCUCAGGAUUCCCUUGGACCCUGUUGAAUCGUAUCGGGUAGAUGAACCGUUACUCUGCCUGUCAUGAAGCAGCACCAAGAGCAGCAAAACGAGAAACUGACAGCAGAGCCAGAAAUUACAACGAGCAGGAGGUGUUUUACUUAGCUCUCCCUAAGGGAAACAGCAAUGUCCAUAACAUUAAAAAAAAAUGUUGGGAAGGCUACUCUACGCCCUCAUAAGUCCAGAUUUAUUAAGUGCACAAAAGUGGUGCUGCCAAAAGGAAAUAACUGGAGAAUUUUCUGGAGCCAAGGCGGGCAGAAAAUACAGUGAUGAGAAGUUGGAAAGCAGCAUUAUCAUUUUCCAGACUGGAUUUCACUUUGUUCCACUUCAACCAGUGACCCACCAUGGUCCAACACAAAAUUUAAAACAAGACCAUAGCAAGCCUCUCUUCCAAAUGAGAAGAUGGAAAAUAACAAACACAAUAGAGGUAAAUUGCUCCCAAUGUUGGUAAAUGAUAUAGCAUGUGGAAGAGGAACAAAAGCAGCCCUUCACUGAUGUCACCCUCCUUCCUUUGAGGAAUGAUGGGAAGCAUGCAUUCAAGUUGCAAGGUGUAGCUACCAGGUAUCUUGUCCCCACGCCUGAAAGCAGAUAUGAGUCACCUGAGGCCAAUACCUUCUGUCAACUACAAUUCUGAACUUGACUAAAGUAUGGCAAGGUGCUGUUUACCUAGAACAUGUGAUGUGUUUAAUGUGUUUAUUUUACUACCUAAAACUUAAACAUCUUAAUGUGUUCAUUAAGAGGUCAAUUGAUUGAAAAGAAC
Molecule: long non-coding RNA, 819 nt
Filed under: Ovis aries (sheep)
Lineage: Eukaryota; Metazoa; Chordata; Mammalia; Artiodactyla; Bovidae
Description: lncRNA (ENSOARG00000025548.1)
Source: RNAcentral